Molecule: unclassified non-coding RNA, 279 nt
Filed under: plant metagenome
Description: partial contains small subunit ribosomal RNA, internal transcribed spacer 1, and 5.8S ribosomal RNA
Source: RNAcentral
UUUCCGUAGGUGAACCUGCGGAAGGAUCAUUAUUGUAUAACCAAGGUGCGAGGGCAUUCGGUAACCCGACAGGUCGUUUACGCCCGAGUGCGCUCCCACCCCUCCCUCUCACCCCUGUGUGCACCACCGAGUGGCUACCCCUUUUGCUAUUUCGGAGGCGGGCUUACGUUUUCACACAAACUUUGUACGCAAUGUUGAAUGUCUUUUUUGUUUUUGCGAUCACGCAAUCAAUACACCUCUCAUCGAAGGAUCUCUUGGCUCUCGCAUCGAUGAAGAACA